CCUACGGGUGGCAGCAGUGGGGAAUUUUGCGCAAUGGGCGAAAGCCUGACGCAGCAACGCCGCGUGAGGGAUGAAAUAUUUCGGUAUGUAAACCUCGCAAAUAUGGGAAGAACAAAAUGACGGUACCAUAUGUAAGCCCCGGCUAACUUCGUGCCAGCAGCCGCGGUAAUACGAAGGGGGCAAGCGUUGUUCGGAAUUACUGGGCGUAAAGCGCGUGUAGGCGGCUCUUCAAGUCAGGCGUGAAAGCCCCGAGCUCAACUCGGGAACUGCGUUUGAUACUGUCGAGCUAGAGUGUGGAAGAGGCAAUCGGAAUUCCAUGUGUAGCGGUGAAAUGCGUAGAUAUACGGAGGAACACCAGAGGCGAAGGCGGAUUGCUGGGCCAACACUGACGCUGAGACGCGAAAGCUAGGGUAGCAAACGGGCUUAGAUACCCCAGUAGUC
Molecule: ribosomal RNA, 441 nt
Filed under: uncultured Acidobacteriota bacterium
Lineage: Bacteria; Pseudomonadati; Acidobacteriota
Description: bacterial SSU rRNA
Rfam family: Bacterial small subunit ribosomal RNA
Source: RNAcentral